RNAcentral lists this ribosomal RNA (477 nucleotides) under uncultured bacterium. RNAcentral describes it as "bacterial SSU rRNA". It matches the Rfam family "Bacterial small subunit ribosomal RNA", at positions 335 to 802 of the family's 1533-position model. The record is from RNAcentral.
ACUCCUACGGGAGGCAGCAGUGGGGAAUAUUGCACAAUGGGCGCAAGCCUGAUGCAGCCAUGCCGCGUGUAUGAAGAAGGCCUUCGGGUUGUAAAGUACUUUCAGCAGUGAGGAAGGCGGGGCAUGUUAAAUAGCAUGCUCGUUUUGACGUUAGCUGCAGAAGAAGCACCGGCUAACUCCGUGCCAGCAGCCGCGGUAAUACGGAGGGUGCGAGCGUUAAUCGGAAUUACUGGGCGUAAAGCGCAUGCAGGUGGUUUGUUAAGUCAGAUGUGAAAGCCCGGGGCUCAACCUCGGAAUUGCAUUUGAAACUGGCAGACUAGAGUACUGUAGAGGGGGGUAGAAUUUCAGGUGUAGCGGUGAAAUGCGUAGAGAUCUGAAGGAAUACCGGUGGCGAAGGCGGCCCCCUGGACAGAUACUGACACUCAGAUGCGAAAGCGUGGGGAGCAAACAGGAUUAGAUACCCUGGUAGCUACGAGU